GACUCUCGGCAACGGAUAUCUCGGCUCUCGCAUCGAUGAAGAACGUAGCGAAAUGCGAUACUUGGUGUGAAUUGCAGAAUCCCGUGAACCAUCGAGUCUUUGAACGCAAGUUUGCAACCCGGAGAUGGUGUUUUUUCGGAAGCAGUGCUG
This 150-nucleotide ribosomal RNA is filed under the name Brassica oleracea var. oleracea. RNAcentral describes it as "rRNA 5_8S_rRNA". It matches the Rfam family "5.8S ribosomal RNA". From Rfam's summary of the family: 5.8S ribosomal RNA (5.8S rRNA) is a component of the large subunit of the eukaryotic ribosome. It is transcribed by RNA polymerase I as part of the 45S precursor that also contains 18S and 28S rRNA. The record is from Rfam by way of RNAcentral. Lineage: Eukaryota; Viridiplantae; Streptophyta; Magnoliopsida; Brassicales; Brassicaceae.